AUUAGCUGGGAGUUGAAUAAGAGAAUCCUAAGCAAUGGCAAAAAACAACUUGCAAAAAAAAAAAAAAGAAGUGUGAAUUGGAGAAAUAGUUCAAUACAGUGCUUAAGAAACACAGAUGUGAUUCUUUCCUACACUUUUAAAGAUUCCAUAGUCAAACUGGCAUUUUAAAAAGGAAACCAGUGAAGAUUAAGGGCACUAAGAAUGAUAUAUCCUGUUGCACUGUUUCGAAGGCCUGAGCUUCUGUUCAUGAAGGACAUGCCCAGCAGCUUUGCAGAUGACUCAUAAUCCUCUUCGUCCUCGUCCAUCUCAUGCUCACCAAGACCUCGUACCAGGAGCCUCGAACCCCGGGGCUCAUAUUCCACUUCAUCAGGUUCCAGAGGAUGUAAACAAGGUUCUUUGGCUAAAUCUACCACGUCUGGUUCUUCUUCAAACAUGCUGUUUUCAAUCAUAUUCCUUGGAAGCUGAAGUCGAUCUACAAAAUUAAGACAUAAUGAUAAGAGAGAG
Peromyscus eremicus (cactus mouse) is the source of this 504-nucleotide long non-coding RNA. RefSeq lists it as uncharacterized. The transcript is spliced from 3 exons. Lineage: Eukaryota; Metazoa; Chordata; Mammalia; Rodentia; Cricetidae. The record is from RefSeq and is a predicted model, not a curated record.